UAUAUACACACAUAAACACGAAGUAGCUUUCUGUUGGGCUUAAGGAUAUAACUUAAGCUAUUUUUCAGGCUUAGAGUUUUGGGAACCAUCAAUCUUAAAAUAUCAUUGUCCAUCUUUCAGAUUUAACAUAAAGAAAUUAGAUUAGAAACAACUAUGUCUGGGGCAGAGUCAGCAAACCUCAGACCUAUGAUUGGCUCUGAGCAUCAUGGUUGUGGCUGACUGUGUGACUCGCACCAGAACUCUACCCCAGAUUCCAUGCAGGUCUCUUGAGUCCCUAAGGUACCUGCGAGUAGGAUUCAGAGGAAGUGGGGACCACAGAUUUGUAUUUAACCUUGCUGUCUUUAUAGAUGUUGCCUUAACUCUAUUUUUGUGAAGAUAUUAAAAAUGUAAGUUAGAAAAAUACUAUCAUUUUUCUAAUUAGGAAAACCAAACAUUUAGAAUCUACUAGAAUAUACUGGAUUCACUGUUAACAAAUGAUAAUUCCAUUCUACUGUUAACAUGAUUUGUAUGUAAGAGAAUGGGGGCCUGUUAAUCAGAAGUUACAGAGGGA
Molecule: long non-coding RNA, 550 nt
Filed under: Bos taurus (domestic cattle)
Lineage: Eukaryota; Metazoa; Chordata; Mammalia; Artiodactyla; Bovidae
Description: long non-coding RNA NONBTAT025343
Source: RNAcentral